Molecule: ribosomal RNA, 512 nt
Filed under: uncultured bacterium
Lineage: Bacteria
Description: partial 16S ribosomal RNA
Rfam family: Bacterial small subunit ribosomal RNA
Source: RNAcentral
GAUGAACGCUGGCGGCGUGCCUAAUACAUGCAAGUCGAACGAAACUUCUUUAUCACCGAGUGCUUGCACUCACCGAUAAAGAGUUGAGUGGCGAACGGGUGAGUAACACGUGGGCAACCUGCCCAAAAGAGGGGGAUAACACUUGGAAACAGGUGCUAAUACCGCAUAGCCAUAGUUACCGCAUGGUAACUAUGUAAAAGGUGGCUAUACUACCGCUUUUGGAUGGGCCCGCGGCGCAUUAGCUAGUUGGUAGGGUAAAGGCUUACCAAGGCAAUGAUGCGUAACCGAAUUGAGAGGUUGAUCGGCCACAUUGGGACUGAGACACGGCCCAAACUCCUACGGGAGGCAGCAGUAGGGAAUCUUCCACAAUGGGCGAAAGCCUGAUGGAGCAACGCCGCGUGGGUGAAGAAGGUCUUCGGAUCGUAAAACCCUGUUGUUAGAGAAGAAAGUGCGUGAGAGUAACUGUUCACGUUUCGACGGUAUCUAACCAGAAAGCCACGGCUAACUACGUG